UACGUAGGGGGCAAGCGUUGUCCGGAUUCAUUGGGCGUAAAGAGCGUGUAGGCGGCCAGGUAGGUCGGUUGUGAAAACUGGAGGCUCAACCUUCAGAGGUCGACCGAAACCAUCUGGCUAGAGUCCGGGAGAGGAGAGUGGAAUUCCUGGUGUAGCGGUGAAAUGCGCAGAUAUCAAGAGGAACACCUGAGGUGAAGACGGGUUGCUGGGCUGACACUGACGCUGAGGCGCGAAAGCCAGGGGAGCAAACGGG
This 253-nucleotide ribosomal RNA is filed under the name uncultured bacterium. Its description in RNAcentral is "partial 16S ribosomal RNA". It matches the Rfam family "Bacterial small subunit ribosomal RNA", at positions 524 to 776 of the family's 1533-position model. The record is from RNAcentral.